Molecule: non-coding RNA, 18 nt
Filed under: Mus musculus (house mouse)
Lineage: Eukaryota; Metazoa; Chordata; Mammalia; Rodentia; Muridae
Source: RNAcentral
AGUUGUCCUCCUGCUCUC